GACAGCAGCAGCCGCGUUAAUACAGAGGGUGCGAGCGUUAAUCGGAUUUACUGGGCGUAAAGCGUGCGUAGGCGGCUUCUUAAGUCGGAUGUGAAAUCCCUGAGCUUAACUUAGGAAUUGCAUUCGAUACUGGGAAGCUAGAGUAUGGGAGAGGAUGGUAGAAUUCCAGGUGUAGCGGUGAAAUGCGUAGAGAUCUGGAGGAAUACCGAUGGCGAAGGCAGCCAUCUGGCCUAAUACUGACGCUGAGGUACGAAAGCAUGGGGAGCAAACAGGAUUAGAUACCCCCGUAGUCCCUGUCUCUUAUAC
RNAcentral lists this ribosomal RNA (306 nucleotides) under uncultured bacterium. Its description in RNAcentral is "partial 16S ribosomal RNA". It matches the Rfam family "Bacterial small subunit ribosomal RNA", at positions 505 to 807 of the family's 1533-position model. The record is from RNAcentral.